CAGCAGCCGCGGGAAUACGUAGGUGGCAAGCGUUGUCCGGAAUUAUUGGGCGUAAGGGCUCGCAGGCGGUUUCUUAAGUCUGAUGUGAAAGCCCCCGGCUCAACCGGGGAGGGUCAUUGGAAACUGGGAAACUUGAGUGCAGAAGAGGAGAGUGGGAUUCCACGUGUAGCGGUGAAAUGCGUAGAGAUGUGGAGGAACACCAGUGGCGAAGGCGACUCUCUGGUCUGUAACUGACGCUGAGGAGCGAAAGCGUGGGGAGCGAACAGGAUUAGAUACCCGUGUAGUCCCUGUCUCUUAUACA
Molecule: ribosomal RNA, 301 nt
Filed under: uncultured bacterium
Lineage: Bacteria
Description: partial 16S ribosomal RNA
Rfam family: Bacterial small subunit ribosomal RNA
Source: RNAcentral